UACGGAGGGGGCGAGCGUUGUUCGGAGUUACUGGGCGUAAAGCGCACGUAGGCGGCAGGGCAAGUCUGGUGUGAAAGCCCGGGGCUCAACCCCGGAAGUGCAUUGGAAACUGCUCUGCUUGAGUACCGGAGAGGAAGGGGGAAUUCCCGGUGUAGCGGUGAAAUGCGUAGAUAUCGGGAGGAAGGCCGGUGGCGAAGGCGGCCUCCUGGGCCUGCACUGACGCUGAGGCGCGAAAGCGUGGGGAGCAAACAGG
This 253-nucleotide ribosomal RNA is filed under the name uncultured microorganism. RNAcentral describes it as "partial 16S ribosomal RNA". It matches the Rfam family "Bacterial small subunit ribosomal RNA", at positions 524 to 776 of the family's 1533-position model. The record is from RNAcentral.